Molecule: ribosomal RNA, 163 nt
Filed under: Perezia carthamoides
Lineage: Eukaryota; Viridiplantae; Streptophyta; Magnoliopsida; Asterales; Asteraceae
Description: 5.8S ribosomal RNA
Rfam family: 5.8S ribosomal RNA
About the family: 5.8S ribosomal RNA (5.8S rRNA) is a component of the large subunit of the eukaryotic ribosome. It is transcribed by RNA polymerase I as part of the 45S precursor that also contains 18S and 28S rRNA.
Source: RNAcentral
CAAACGACUCACGGCAACGGAUAUCUCGGCUCACGCAUCGAUGAAGAACGUAGCAAAAUGCGAUACUUGGUGUGAAUUGCAGAAUCCCGUGAACCAUCGAGUUUUUGAACGCAAGUUGCGCCCGAAGCCAUCCGGCUGAGGGCACGUCUGCCUGGGCGUCACG